AAUGUUGCCAUAGUAAUUGAACUUCGUAUGGAAGGAACCGUUCAUUCGGAUAAUUGGUAUUUGAGCUUGCUUAGGCAGGCAAAGGUCAGAGGCUAUCAUCCAUUGGGAUAUGGCUGAACGCCAUCAAGUCAGAACCCGUGCUGGAGCGCGACGAUUAUUGUCUUGUCCGAUUUUUAGUUGAAUACGAAUAGAUCUUCGGAUCCUGAAACAUACUACAGGGGGUCGAUCUUGCAGAGUGGAAAGACUUCCUAAUGUUAAUUUCAAAUAUUGGGAGAGACAAAUCCAUUGCGAAUGACUUUAAUUGAACAGGGUAUUGUAAGCAGAAGAGUAGCAUUGUUGCCAUGAUCUGCAGAGAUUAAGCCCAUUGUUCUACAGAUUU
Molecule: non-coding RNA, 379 nt
Filed under: Linnemannia elongata AG-77
Lineage: Eukaryota; Fungi; Mortierellomycota; Mortierellomycetes; Mortierellales; Mortierellaceae
Description: Mortierella elongata AG-77 Eukaryotic large subunit ribosomal RNA
Rfam family: Eukaryotic large subunit ribosomal RNA
Source: Rfam by way of RNAcentral